RNAcentral lists this ribosomal RNA (604 nucleotides) under uncultured bacterium. RNAcentral's name for it is "bacterial SSU rRNA". It matches the Rfam family "Bacterial small subunit ribosomal RNA", at positions 888 to 1498 of the family's 1533-position model. The record is from RNAcentral.
GCAAGAUUAAAACUCAAAGGAAUAGACGGGGACCCGCACAAGUGGUGGAGCAUGUGGUUUAAUUCGAAGAUACGCGAAGAACCUUACCUAGCCUUGACAUAUUUGAAAAUCUGACAGAGAUGUUGGAGUGCCUUCGGGAGUUCAUUUACAGGUGCUGCACGGCUGUCGUCAGCUCGUGUCGUGAGAUGUUGGGUUAAGUCCCGCAACGAGCGCAACCCUCGUCACUAGUUACUAACGAUUCGGUCGAGGACUCUAGUGAGACUGCCUUCGUAAGGAGGAGGAAGGUGAGGACGACGUCAAGUCAUCAUGGCCCUUACGGCUAGGGCAACACACGUGCUACAAUGGUUAGGACAAUGAGACGCAAUACCGCGAGGUGGAGCAAAUCUAUAAACCUAAUCUCAGUUCGGAUUGAAGUCUGCAACUCGACUUCAUGAAGCUGGAAUCACUAGUAAUCGUAGAUCAGCUAUGCUACGGUGAAUACGUUCCCGGGUCUUGUACUCACCGCCCGUCACACCAUGGGAGUUGAUUUCACCCGAAGCGGGGAAGCUAAACUGGCUACCCUCCACGGUGGAAUUAGCGACUGGGGUGAAGUCGUAACAAGGUA